This 688-nucleotide long non-coding RNA is filed under the name Mus pahari (shrew mouse). Its description in RNAcentral is "lncRNA (MGP_PahariEiJ_G0012561.1)". Lineage: Eukaryota; Metazoa; Chordata; Mammalia; Rodentia; Muridae. The record is from RNAcentral.
CCAACAAGCUACAGUUAUUCUCAGCUAGGGUUUUACUUUUCUUACAAAAUUAGCCUGUGGAUUUCAAAAGUAUGAAUAAAAAAGAGGACAAAAUGGUCAACUAUUACAAAGGAAUAUAAUGAGACAAAGGUUGUUGUUAAAUCUACUCAACAGUUGGGACUCUUUGCAUUUUGUUUAGGGGUACAUGGUCAUUAAGUUUUUGUCUUAUGUUGGUAACUAGUCUCACAUAGUUGUUCCUAGUUUAAUUCAAUGCCACCAUCCUAAGCAGAUGGUGGUCAUUCCACACCUUUAGCUGCCUUGUAGCCCCUCAGCCAUGUUUGUCCCAUAGAGCAUCACUAACCAACAGCUCACUUUGGACUCCUCAUAGCAGAAGUACAGUAGGGGACAGCAAGUGUCAGUUCUGUCAUGGCCCCUGAUAUAAUUAUUUACUGUGCAACCAUUGUCCUGAGUCAGGAGCAUAGAUGAGGGUAGAAUGAGUGUGGCUGGUAUGGCUUCCUGAUUACAUUCUGGGGAAGAUCUUGCCUAGAGAAGAUCUGCUAGAGAAGGAGGCAAGACACUGAUAACCACUGGUGGCAGUUUUCGUCUUGCUUACAAGCUCUCCAGUUAUGCUCAGUAUUUCCAUGACAUCCCAAGACAUGCGGGCCAUGCUGCCACAUCCCCCUGUUUAACAAGUGUGGAAACUGAUGUA